CAGUGAGCGCACAGAAGGGAGCUUGCUCCCGGAAGUGAGCGGCGGAUGGGUGAGUAACACGUGGGCAACCUGCCUGAAAGUCGGGGAUAACUCCGGGAAACGGGAGCUAAUACCGGAUAAUCGCCUGCACCGCAUGGUGCAGGUGUGAAAGAUGGUUUCGGCCAUCACUUUCAGAUGGGCCCGCGGUGCAUUAGUUAGUUGGCGGGGCAACGGCCCACCAAGACCACGAUGCAUAGCCGACCUGAGAGGGUGAUCGGCCACAUUGGGACUGAGACACGGCCCAAACUCCUACGGGAGGCAGCAGUAGGGAAUCUUCCACAAUGGACGAAAGUCUGAUGGAGCAACGCCGCGUGAGCGAAGAAGGUUUUCGGAUCGUAAAGCUCUGUUGCCGGAGAAGAACGGACGGGAGAGGAAAUGCUCCUGUCGUGACGGUAUCCGGCCAGAAAGCCACGGCUAACUACGUGCCAGCAGCCGCGGUAAUACGUAGGUGGCAAGCGUUGUCCGGAAUUAUUGGGCGUAAAGCGCGCGCAGGCGGUUUCUUAAGUCUGAUGUGAAAUCUUGCGGCUCAACCGCAAGCGGCCAUUGGAAACUGGGAAGCUUGAGUACAGAAGAGGAGAGUAGAAUUCCACGUGUAGCGGUGAAAUGCGUAGAGAUGUGGAGGAAUACCGGUGGCGAAGGCGGCUCUCUGGUCUGUUACUGACGCUGAGGUGCGAAAGCGUGGGGGAGCAAACAGGAUUAGAUACCCUGGUAGUCCACGCUGUAAACGAUGAAUGCUAGGUGUUAGGGGGGUCCAACCCCUUAGUGCUGCAGUUAACACAUUAAGCAUUCCGCCUGGGAAGUACGACCGCAAGGUUGANCUCAAAGGAAUUGACGGGGGCCCGCACAAGCAGUGGAGCAUGUGGUUUAAUUCGAAGCAACGCGAAGAACCUUACCAGGUCUUGACAUCCUUCGACCGCCUGAGAGAUCAGGCUUUCCCCUUCGGGGGACGGAGUGACAGGUGGUGCAUGGUUGUCGUCAGCUCGUGUCGUGAGAUGUUGGGUUAAGUCCCGCAACGAGCGCAACCCUUGAUCCCAGUUGCCAGCAUUCAGUUGGGCACUCUGGGGUGACUGCCGGUGACAAACCGGAGGAAGGUGGGGAUGACGUCAAAUCAUCAUGCCCCUUAUGAUCUGGGCUACACACGUGCUACAAUGGGCGGUACAAAGGGCUGCGAGACCGCGAGGUCAAGCCAAUCCCAUAAAGCCGCCCCCAGUUCGGAUUGCAGGCUGCAACCCGCCUGCAUGAAGCCGGAAUUGCUAGUAAUCGCGGAUCAGCAUGCCGCGGUGAAUCCGUUCCCGGGCCUUGUACACACCGCCCGUCACACCACGAGAGUCGGUAACACCCGAAGUCGGUGCGGGAACCUUUAUGGACCCA
Molecule: ribosomal RNA, 1410 nt
Filed under: Sporolactobacillus vineae
Lineage: Bacteria; Bacillati; Bacillota; Bacilli; Caryophanales; Sporolactobacillaceae
Description: bacterial SSU rRNA
Rfam family: Bacterial small subunit ribosomal RNA
Source: RNAcentral